This 2810-nucleotide ribosomal RNA is filed under the name uncultured Bordetella sp. RNAcentral's name for it is "partial 16S-23S ribosomal RNA intergenic spacer". The stretch from base 1296 to 2802 matches the Rfam family "Bacterial small subunit ribosomal RNA". The record is from RNAcentral. Lineage: Bacteria; Pseudomonadati; Pseudomonadota; Betaproteobacteria; Burkholderiales; Alcaligenaceae.
UUGCCACGACUUCGUCUCCGUCACCUCCCACGGCCAGGCUAAUUUGCAAAACCCACUCCAUGCAGACGGGCGGUGUGUGGCUACCCGGGAACGCGGGAUCCACCGCGACGGCGCUGGGAUCCGCCCCGGACUUCAGGCAGCCGAGUGCCAGUAGAACCGGGAGAUCCGGACUACGAUCGGCGCUCACCGCGGGCUGGCUUUUACCCUCUGUCCCCGACCAUUGUAUGACGCGAAGUCCCACUGGGCGGGCCAUGAGGACUCCGACGUCAUCCCCAAUUUUUCCUCCGGUUUGUCGCCGGCAGUCUCGGGAGCGCCUCUUUCGUGCUAAAUUCAAUGACGGGCGGGCCGCCGCCGCGGACUUGCAACAUUCGACACGAGCUGACGACAGCGUGGCUACCUGUGUCCAUGUUCCCAGAACUCCCAGUCUCUCUGUUCGGGAUUCCAGACAUACCGCGGUAGGCAUGUGUUUUCAUGUUGCACCGAGUCCAUCCAUAUCCUGUUUGCGUGGUCCCCGUUUUUGGUUUUAAUCUUGCGAUUCCCAGGCGGUCUCACGCGUUAGCUGCGCUAUUUAGCGCCUCGAAGGCCUAACAGCUGUUGACAUCGUUUAGCGGACUACCAGGGCAUCUAAUCUCUGUUUGCCCUGUUUUUCGUACGAGCGUCGUUAACUUGAGGAUGCAGGCUCUCGCCAUCGGUGUCUUCUCCGCAUAUCUACGCAUUUCACUACAGCGACGCGGCUCCAUUCCUCCUCUGACAUUACUCUGCCGUGUUGCCAAACCAGCGGCUCGGGAUUACAUCUCUCUCUCUCCGCGCACCGCUUACGCCCAGUAAUCUGAUUAACGCCUUGCACUCUGGCGUAUUACCGCGGCUGCUGGCACGCCGGUGUCCUGCAGGCACCGCUGUUGCACGGGUAUCCCGCGCCGCUUCUUCUGCCGUGCGCUUUACAACCCGAAGGUUUUCAUCGCACACUGAUCAGGUUUCCAUCGUCCGCGCGCCUCACUGCACGCCCCGUGGGGCUGCGUCUCGUCCCAGUGUGGCUGGUCAGUCUCGACAACAGGCGGAUCGUCGUUUGGUGAGCUGCUGCCCCACCAAUAAUCUGAUAUCGGGCUGCCUGCGCGAGCUUCCCGCUUCCCCGAAGGCGUAUGUAUACAGCGCUUUCGCGUAGCAUCCCCGCCAGGCACGUUCCACCACCCGCCUGCCACUCGCCACCAGACCGAAGUCUGCGCUGCCGUCGACGCCGCACGCGGGCUGGAGCCAGGGACCGCAUCCCCCGGUUACUACCCGGGAGCACUGCGGCAGUAACAGAGGGUUUGAUUCUGGCCUAGAUUGAACGCUGGCGGGAUGCUUUACACAUGCAAGUCGAACGGCAGCACGGACUUCGGUCUGGUGGCGAGUGGCGAACGGGUGAGUAAUGUAUCGGAACGUGCCUAGUAGCGGGGGAUAACUACGCGAAAGCGUAGCCAAUACCGCAUACGCCCUUCGGGGGAAAGCGGGGACCUUCGGGCCUCGCACUAUUAGAGCGGCCGAUAUCGGAUUAGCUAGUUGGUGGGGUAACGGGCUCACCAAGGCGACGAUCCGUAGCUGGUUUGAGAGGACGACCAGCCACACUGAGACACGGCCCAGACUCCUACGGGAGGCAGCAGUGGGGAAUUUUGGACAAUGGGGGGAAACCCUGAUCCAGCCAUCCCGCGUGUGCGAUGAAGGCUCUCGGGUUGUAAAGCACUUUUGGCAGGAAGAAACGGCACGGGAUAAUACUCCCGUGCAACUGACGGUACCUGCAGAAUAAGCACCGGCUAACUACGUGCCAGCAGCCGCGGUAAUACGUAGGGUGCAAGCGUUAAUCGGAAUUACCGGGCGUAAAGCGUGCGCAGGCGGUUCGGAAAGAAAGAUGUGAAAUCCCAGAGCUUAACUUUGGAACUGCAUUUUUAAUCACCGAGCUAGAGUGUGUCAGAGGGAGGUGGAAUUCCGCGUAGCAGUGAAAUGCGUAGAUAUGCGGAGGAACACCGAUGGCGAAGGCAGCCUCCUGGGAUAACACUGACGCUCAUGCACGAAAGCGUGGGGAGCAAACAGGAUUAGAUACCCUGGUAGUCCACGCCCUAAACGAUGUCAACUAGCUGUUGGGGCCUUCGGGCUUUGCAGCGCAGCUAACGCGUGCAGUUGACCGCCUGGUGGGGAGUACGGUCGCAAGAUUAAAACUCAAAGGAAUUGACGGGGACCCGCACAAGCGGUGGAUGAUGUGGAUUAAUUCGAUGCAACGCGAAAAACUUACCUACCCUUGACAUGUCUGGAAUCCCGAAGAGAUUUGGGAGUGCUCGCAAGAGAACCGAACACAGGUGCUGCAUGGCUGUCGUCAGCUCGUGUCGUGAGAUGUUGGGUUAAGUCCCCGCAACGAGCGCAACCCUUGUCAUUAGUUGCUACGAAAGGGCACUCUGGCCGAGACUGCCGGCGACAAAACCGAGGAAGGUGGGGAUGACGUCAAGUCCUCAUGGCCCUUAUGGGUAGGGCUUCACACGCUGGCACAAUGGUCGGGACAGAGGGUCGCCAACCCGCGAGGGGGAGCCAAUCCCAGAAACCCGAUCGUAGUCCGGAUCGCGUCUUCAAACUCGACUGCGUGAAGUCGGAAUCGCUAGUAAUCGCGGAUCAGCAUGUCGCGGUGAAUACGUUCCCGGUUCUGUACACACCGCCCGUCACACCAUGGGAGUGGGUUUUACCAGAAGUAGUUAGCCUAACCGGGUAAGGAGUGGGCGAUUAACACGGUAGGAUUCAUGACUGGGGUGAAGUCGUACAUUUCGUACCCCAGCCAUUACCUGAUG